AUUGAACGCUGGCGGCAGGCCUAACACAUGCAAGUCGAACGAGUGGCGGACGGGUGAGUAAUGUCGGGGAAACUGCCUGAUGGUGGGGGAAAACUACUGGAAACGGUCGCUAAUACCGCAUACCCUCAGAUGUUCCCAGAUGGGAUUAGCUUGUUGGUGGGGUAAUGGCUCACCAAGGCGACGAUCUCUAGCUGGUCUGAGAGGAGGACCAGCCACACUGGAACUGAGACACGAUCCAGACUCCUACGGAAAGCAGCAGUGGGGAAUUGUGGACAAUGCGCGCAAGCCUGAUGCAGCCAUGCCGCGUGUAUGAAGAAGGCCUUAGGGUUGUAAAGUACUUUCAGAGGGGAGGCGUUACCCUCAGAAGAAGCACCGGCUAACUCCAUGCCAGCAGCCGCGGUAAUAC
Molecule: ribosomal RNA, 406 nt
Filed under: uncultured bacterium
Lineage: Bacteria
Description: partial 16S ribosomal RNA
Rfam family: Bacterial small subunit ribosomal RNA
Source: RNAcentral